GGGGAGGGGGGUGUGAAUGCAUUAGCAUGUCCCAACCAAAGCAGGAGGAGAAAGGAAGAAGAUAAUCGAGGGUGCUAAAAAUAGUCAGUCUUCCCUAACUCCGCUCACGCCCAGGUCCAGACGUCUCAACUCCUCGGUGCUUUCUAGUAAGAGCAAAAAGCGAGGUGCUCAGGCUGCCCGCGGCUCAGGGACCCUCCACGGUUUGUCUUUCAGGAAAGUGGCUUAGCUGGGGAGCUUGGUCCGUCUUCUGGGCAGACAGGGACUACCUACCCUGGGCUCGACGCAUGGAGGGCACGGGCUCUUAGGGCCAUGUUGCGGAGAGAGGAAAUACUGCCUCUGACGACGGGGGGGGGCUGCAUUCCCCGUGGCUGGCCCCUGGGUUUGCAUUGGGCAUCAUUUCCCCAGCUGGAUGGAGGUAGCUGGAGAGUGGGUUCCCAGGGAGACCCUGGUGCCACUGGGAGCUUGGUGCAGAGUGGGCUCCAUCGAGGUCUUCACACGGAGCCGGAGCACAGGAGGGCUGGCCUGGGACCUUGCUCCCUGAUCCUCCUGAGAAAUGGAGGCCGGUGGGAGAGCUCGGGCCUGUCUCCCCUGGGAACCACAGCUUGAAGGGCCCCUGGAGGCCUGGCCCACCGCUCACGGGGACAUAGUGGGUCUUUUAGCCCCCAGCCCACGGCUCUGUCUGUCCUCCCACGGCUGGCUCAGGACUGGGCUGUGCAUCUCAGGUGGACACUCCAGCAGCAGGUGGUUGUCCUUGUCCUCCCUCUUUCAGCAAAAACCAGUCAUGGCUGAGAAUCCCAAGGGCCUGGCAGCCCCUGGAACUCCCCCUUCUAGGGGGAUCUGCACGGAGGUCAGAUCAACCAGUGCCUCAGCUGCCCGGCACCUGAAGCCGGGGGUGGGUAGAGGCAAGUGUGAGGGGAGACAGAGGCCCCCGCUCUGGCUGGAGGGACGGAAUACUCAGUCUGCAAUCGCCAGGGAAGGCUCAUGCCACGGGCACCUAGUGUUGCCGCUGCCACCCCGUCCUUGAACAGGCAGUAGGCUGAGACCCACGGAGGGAGUGACACGGCUAGGCCACCCAGCCAGCAACGGCCAACUCCCCGGAGCAGAGAUGGGGGCCACUCUCCACUGCACCUUUGCUAACCGGCAGCCGCGGGAGCCUGGCGUCCGCGCUCCAGAGCCCUGCCUCGCUCUGCUCUGCAGUCCUCGACCUGAACGUGACUGCUCACGGGGCCUGCAUCGCACGCACCUCCCUCCAGCCCCCACCCCCGGCAACCCCUACCCCCGAGACCCCUACCCCUGGAGACCCUACCCCCAGACCCUAACCCCAGAGACCCUACCCCCAGCAGCCACGCUUGCGUUCACUGGGCCUUAUCCUUGCUGUGAGUUGCGGAGCUCCCUGAUAGGCCCCGUGAAGACAGGGAUGCGAGGAAGGCUGGGCCAAGCCCCCAUCUGGGCCUGAAAAAAGCUGGGCAGGCCUCCCUGGGGAUCCCACCAUGGUCUCAGGACCUGUCGGGGCGGGCGGGGGCGCAGCUCAGACGUCAGUGCUGAUGCUGCGGCUCCGUGAGAAGGCCUCCCGCAUGGCCGAGAGGCGGUUGGGGUUGAGCGCCUGCAGGCCCCCAAAGCUCCCGGGCGGCAGCUCCACGUCGUCCUGGCUGAUGCUCUUGUAGGCCACACGCUCCCCGCCGUUGCGCACACCCUCGUCCUCGGGCUCCUGCAGGAAGAAGGUGGGCGGCUCGUAGUGGGAGCAGCUGCGGCAGAGGGAGCGGGCCUGCGGGGACUUCUGGCUGAAGGAGGUGGAGGCAGCUGGGUAGAGAGCCGGCCCCGGCCCGUUGGUCAGGACGAGGUUGCGGUUGGCGUGCAGUGGCGGCAGGUGCGCGUGCACUGCGAAGUCGGGCUCCUCCUCGUCCUCCUCGGACUCGUCCUUCUUGCAGCAGUAGUACUGUGGGCAGAGGGCGGGUGACCUCCGGCUCCCCACCCACCUCUCCCGACCCGCACGCAGGGAAAGGGGGUAUGUGCCCGGGUCAGACACCUGUGUCCCUUUAACCACCACUUAUGAGGGGCUCACCCAGGUCAGGCACCCACCCUGCUAAACACUCUGUAAGGAGGGAUCCGCUCAUUUCAUCCCCAUGGCAACGGGAGGCAGGUGUAAUUGUCAUCUCCAGUUUGCAGGUGAGGAACUGAGGCACAGAAAGUGGCAGAGCUGGGGUUCCAGCCCAGGCAGUGUGUCCCCAGACUAGUUUAUGGGCACUGGGCUGUGUGGCCCUGCCCUGCACGUGUGGUUUCCCUUCCUCUCUCAGGAAGACGUGGGGGCCCCGGUGGGCCCUACAGCAUGGGUGGGGAGGGGAGGGCACAGGUGGUGGACUAGCAUAGCCCAAGUGCUCCCCCCUGCUUGCCACUUGGCAGCUGUGUGCCAUUGGCUAAAUCCCUUACCCACUCUGAGCCUCAGUGGCCUCACCUCUCAGGGCGUUUGGGAAGCCCUGGGGGAGGUGAGCCAGGUGGCCGUCAUCACUGAGCCCUCAGGUGGAGUCUGGGCCAGGGUGUCUGCCAUGCACUUUCUUCCAGACCUGACUCUUCCCUCCUUCCUGGGCCCGGGCCCUGGGGGGGGCUGCCCUCCCGCCACAGGGCCACCCUCGGGGGCUCCCCUCCCCCAGCCCCCCGGGAGUACCUGGAGCCGGCAGUAGCACAGUACGGCGAUGAUGCACAGCAGAAUCACAGUCGCCAAGAUGCCCCCGGUGAUGACCACCGUCCCAGCUGUCAUCCGCCCCCUUCUCCAUCAACAGCCUGCAACACACGCCACUAGCUUUACUGCGUCAUCGCUUCCUCCUUGCAAAAGUAACCCAUUCUAGUUUAGAAUGUUGAGAAAACAGCGCGAAAGGGGAAAAUACCUACCCCAGGGGGCAUGCAUGCAAGAGGCAGGGGCUGGGCCUGGGGGUGGGCAGGACGACAUCCAAGCUGUCUGCCUCGCCCUCUCCCAGCCUCAGUUUCCCCAUCCGCAGAAGGUGAUGCUGAGAACAGGUCUCCACCCUCACACGAGGGCUGUGUGUAUGUUUCGUGAGCUUGUUCUUCAGCGCCCAGCGUAGCACGCUCAGUGAGUGGCGCCGGCCCUGUGAGGUCACGCACCCAUAAAUUCAGCUAGAUGCCCGAGCUGAGCACGUGGCUUCAUAACACGCUUCUCCACCUAACAUCAUGUACAAUACACAUAACAUAAAGUUUGCCAUCGGAAACAUUUCUAAGCGUCCAGCUCAGUAGCCUUAAGUACGUCCCCACUGUUGUGCAACCAAGCUCCAGGACUCUUUCAUCUUGCAAAACUGAAAACCAAUUCUUUCUCGAUAUUUAGGUUGUUUACAUUAAAAAAUAUUUUAAGUGGAUGCUUUAAUAAGUGUUUUUGCAGCUAAGUGAUCGGAGCCAGUGGAACAGGACGUACUUCAGUUACUUUUCCAGGAUAAAUUCUUAGAAGUGGGAUUUCUAGGCCUAAGGACAUGCCCUUUGUAAACUUUUUAUUAUGGAAAAUGUUCAACAAACAGAAGUCGAGAGAAUGACCAAUGCUGUCACCAGUUGCGCGCUUGUUGGCUUUUCCAUCUGUCCAGCCGGCGCUGACGAACCGGUUCUCAGAAUGAAAGCAUCCUGACUUGCAGCAUUUGCUGAUGUUUGUGGCGUCAACAGUCUCACGAUGCCCGUUUCAAGCUACCGAGGUUUACCGACGGGCUCGAAGAAUCCAUGGGCGGUGAACAGUCAGCUCUCCCAAACCAGCAGUCACGGGCUCCAGCACACCUGCCUCAAUGUCCCCCUCAUUUUAUUUUGCAGGGCAUGGUGUUGGGGGGGGGGGUUGGCGAUCAGAGUAUUUUAAAAGAAAUCCCAGAGCAUAUUAGUUAACCCAUAAACAGUUCAGUGUAAAAUCUGACAGAUGAGGACUUUAAAAAAAAAAAUCCCCAGGCUGUGUUUAGCUUUCUCCCAUCAUCCCCGAAAUGUCUUUUUACAGUUGGUUUGUUCCAAUGAGGAUCGAGUUGCGUUUGGCACUGUUGACUCUCAAACAGCUCAGUUCCCAUUCACUCUCCUCCCCGCUCCUGGCCCAUGUUGUUUAUAGACGAAACUGGGUCAUUUAUCUUACAGAAUUUUCCAUGUACGAGAGCUGGCUGGGUUUCCUCGGGCGGCACUGAACACGUUCCACCACCCCUGUUUUGUCAUCUAAACUGGAUUCCUGUUGCAUCCCUUUCAGGGGCCCAGGCUGCUGUCCCUCUUGUCGUGAUGGUGAGAUUAACUAGUGGCUUCCACUGGGGUCAGCCUAAUUCUUCCACUGUGAAGUCCCCAUCGGCCUGCCACCUCAGCAUUGCAGCAGCUGUCAGGGAUCGUUACCCAGAGCCAUUACCCCUUGAGGGGCUGCAAAUAGCGGCUUCUCAAAUGCUAUCAUUUCCUCUGCACUUAUCAGCUCUGGUUCUUCUCUGAAGAACUUUCCCUAUUCCCAAAUUGGUCAUCCUAAAAGACCGUCUGCAGAGGAAAGGCACGGAUGCUCAGCUCUUAUCUUUACCAUUUUCAGAAUAAGCUGGCACGCCACGAUCAUUGUGAUCUCACUGACUUCCAUACGUUUGAUGUGUUUCAAUCCACCACAGUCAUCAUCCUUUUGGAUGUUCAAAUGAUCCUACCGGAACUGUGGGUUUGUGGGCCCCUCCGAAUUGGCUCCUGUGUCAUUUCGAUGGGACCCCACUGAUUCCUGAUGGCGUUUUGCUUUUUGGCACAAGACGUCCCAGCUCAUCUUGUCCUGGACCUGGGAACCUGACGUUCCUUGGCGACACCCUGGUUCUCUUAGUGGGAAGUGGUUUGUAGAGAACACAGUCUAGGCCCCAGAGGUGCUAAGUGCUCCUGGGUUUCAGUGGUUCUAGGCAUUUUCAGUGACGAGAGCUGGAGAAUACUUUUUGUAUUUAUUUUUUAUGAAAAGAAAAAUAAAACAUGAGUUUAUACUGCCAUUUCCACUUAAAGUUAGAGAUUACAGGGUCUUGUUAAAAUUUGAUGUCUGUAUGACGUUUACAGUGAAAAUCUUGUUUCCUAAUGUCAUACAUUUCAAUACUUAUUUACCUUUCCCGUUAUAUAUAAUUUUAAGAUAACAUUACCAAUAUUUUUACCGACAAGUCAUUUGAUAUUUGUUAUUUUUUUUUGUUCUUCUCCCCUCCGGGAUGUACAGUAAAAAGACCGUUUCAAAGUUAUCGGAAAUAAUUCUUAGUAGUGUUUUCCACCAACUUGAUACUCAGGUUCAUGUAUUCCAGUUAGUUCUUACCUUUUUUUUUUUUCAAAUUGAUUUAAUUUUGCUUUCUAAUUGUAGAAAACAUUUGAUUCCAAAGUCAAAAGCAUAAAACUGUUACUGCGCAAAAUUGGGGUUUUCUUGCCCAAUGUGCAUUAAAAAAGCC
Molecule: long non-coding RNA, 5396 nt
Filed under: Equus caballus (horse)
Lineage: Eukaryota; Metazoa; Chordata; Mammalia; Perissodactyla; Equidae
Description: lncRNA (ENSECAG00000056524.1)
Source: RNAcentral